RNAcentral lists this long non-coding RNA (233 nucleotides) under Lathyrus oleraceus (garden pea). RNAcentral's name for it is "Pisum sativum (pea) long non-coding RNA (PSAT_LNC035478)". Lineage: Eukaryota; Viridiplantae; Streptophyta; Magnoliopsida; Fabales; Fabaceae. The record is from RNAcentral.
UUUUCAAUGCAUUUAUAAAUAAGCCUUUUUAUUGAUAUGAUUGAAGUUGAAGAUUGAAAAGUGUUGGAAAUCAAAAUUGUCAAUUGGUUGAAAGUUUCUUGCAUAACAAUCCACACAAAUUUAAAAGAAACUCAUCAACAUUUAAGUUAUAACCAACAAUAGCUUAUGCAAGAAAGUAAAAGGAAAAAAAUUAUGAAUUGGAACUUGUGGAGUGUAUGGUUGGUUAAAACUAA